RNAcentral lists this ribosomal RNA (206 nucleotides) under uncultured bacterium. RNAcentral describes it as "partial 16S ribosomal RNA". It matches the Rfam family "Bacterial small subunit ribosomal RNA", at positions 568 to 774 of the family's 1533-position model. The record is from RNAcentral.
CGCGCAGGCGGUCGAUUUAGUCGCGUGUGAAAGCCCCCGGCUCAACUGGGGAGGGUCACGCGAUACUGAUCGACUCGAAGGCAGGAGAGGGUAGUGGAAUUCCCGGUGUAGUGGUGAAAUGCGUAGAUAUCGGGAGGAACACCAGUGGCGAAGGCGACUACCUGGCCUGUUCUUGACGCUGAGGCGCGAAAGCUAGGGAGCAAACG